RNAcentral lists this ribosomal RNA (468 nucleotides) under uncultured bacterium. RNAcentral's name for it is "partial 16S ribosomal RNA". It matches the Rfam family "Bacterial small subunit ribosomal RNA", at positions 28 to 507 of the family's 1533-position model. The record is from RNAcentral.
GACGAACGCUGGCGGCGUGCUUAACACAUGCAAGUCGAACGGAAAGGCCCUGCUUUUGUGGGGUGCUCGAGUGGCGAACGGGUGAGUAACACGUGAGUAACCUGCCCUUGACUUUGGGAUAACUUCAGGAAACUGGGGCUAAUACCGGAUAGGAGCUCCUGCUGCAUGGUGGGGGUUGGAAAGUUUCGGCGGUUGGGGAUGGACUCGCGGCUUAUCAGCUUGUUGGUGGGGUAGUGGCUUACCAAGGCUUUGGCGGGUAGCCGGCCUGAGAGGGUGACCGGCCACAUUGGGACUGAGAUACGGCCCAGACUCCUACGGGAGGCAGCAGUGGGGAAUAUUGCACAAUGGGCGGAAGCCUGAUGCAGCAACGCCGCGUGCGGGAUGACGGCCUUCGGGUUGAAAACCGCUUUCGCCUGUGACGAAGCGUGAGUGACGGUAAUGGGUAAAGAAGCACCGGCUAACUACGUG